RNAcentral lists this small RNA (311 nucleotides) under Arabidopsis thaliana (thale cress). Its description in RNAcentral is "ATSL223300". Lineage: Eukaryota; Viridiplantae; Streptophyta; Magnoliopsida; Brassicales; Brassicaceae. The record is from RNAcentral.
GUUUCACCGAAUUGUUCCAACACUGAACUAUAUCUUAUUUAAGGCCGAACUGUUUCAACAUUGAGCUAUAUUAAUUAAAUGUAUGAGCGAUGAUGUAUUUAUAGUACUUUUUUUUUUGCUUUGAUCACAUAAAAACACAACACAUCAUUAUUAAUACAAAAUUUCGUGUCAUUACAACAUACAUCGUUAGAAACGAAAAUGGUCACGCUGGGCUAAAUAUUGAGUACUAGAUUUUAACUCGCGCUAUACCGCGGGACGAUUUAUUUUUUUUAAGUAAUAUAUAUUAAAACUUGCAAAUUUUAUUUUUAUAA